This 517-nucleotide ribosomal RNA is filed under the name uncultured bacterium. Its description in RNAcentral is "bacterial SSU rRNA". It matches the Rfam family "Bacterial small subunit ribosomal RNA", at positions 9 to 526 of the family's 1533-position model. The record is from RNAcentral.
GAGUUUGAUCCUGGCUCAGGACGAACGCUGGCGGCGCGCCUAACACAUGCAAGUCGAACGAAGCACCUUGAUUUGAUUCUUCGGAUGAAGAUCUUGGUGACUGAGUGGCGGACGGGUGAGUAACGCGUGGGUAACCUGCCUCAUACAGGGGGAUAACAGUUAGAAAUGACUGCUAAUACCGCAUAAGACCACAGCACCGCAUGGUGCAGGGGUAAAAACUCCGGUGGUACAGGAUGGACCCGCGUCUGAUUAGCUGGUUGGUGAGGUAACGGCUCACCAAGGCGACGAUCAGUAGCCGGCUUGAGAGAGUGAACGGCCACAUUGGGACUGAGACACGGCCCAAACUCCUACGGGAGGCAGCAGUGGGGAAUAUUGCACAAUGGGGGAAACCCUGAUGCAGCGACGCCGCGUGAAGGAAGAAGUAUCUCGGUAUGUAAACUUCUAUCAGCAGGGAAGAUAGUGACGGUACCUGACUAAGAAGCCCCGGCUAACUACGUGCCAGCCGCCGCGGUAAUAC